RNAcentral lists this long non-coding RNA (415 nucleotides) under Carica papaya (papaya). RNAcentral's name for it is "long non-coding RNA (CPAP_LNC004595)". Lineage: Eukaryota; Viridiplantae; Streptophyta; Magnoliopsida; Brassicales; Caricaceae. The record is from RNAcentral.
CACCUCUCUUUUCAUCUCGUUUCACCAAAAUCGGAGUCACAUACUUUGAUAUAUCUUAGUACUUACGGGAUGUAUGAAAAACUUUGAUCAAUGAGUCUCUAUCAUGAUGUUUAUUUUCAGCUCACUGUCACAUGCAACACACAUCAUAUCCUGAAAUCUGAGCAACCCAUCGGUAGAGACUCAAAAUUUUGAAUUUACUCCAUGUUCUGCAUCUUUCUUGAGGGCUGCUGGGGUGGAAUCGACAGAUUGUGCUUCUUUUAUUCUCUGGAUCAACUCAGGUUGAACAGUCAGGUGGCCCAAAUAUAUAACUUUCUUCAGAUCCUGAAAUUGUACCUGUAGUUCGGUCCCUAUUAUAUUGCAUUCUGAAACCAUUAAGUGAGCUAAUAUACAUACACUUUUUCUGCUGAGUGCGUCG